ACCUUAGAUGUUCUGGGCCGCACGCGCGCUACACUGAUGCAUUCAACGAGUCUAAAACCUGCUCUGAUAGGGGUGGGUAAUCUUUUGAAUGUGCAUCGUGAUUGGGAUAGAUGAUUGCAAUUUUUCAUCUUCAACGAGGAAUGCCUAGUAAACGCAAGUCAUCAGCUUGCAUUGAUUACGUCCCUGCCCUUUGUACACACCGCCCGUCGCUCCUACCGAUUGAAUGAUCCGAUGAAUAUCAUGGAUUGAGGAUGCAAGUAGGUUCGCCUAUCUUCAUCUUCGAGAAGUGAAGUAAAUCUUAUCAUUUAGAGGAAGGAGAAGUCGUAACA
RNAcentral lists this ribosomal RNA (329 nucleotides) under uncultured eukaryote. RNAcentral's name for it is "partial 18S ribosomal RNA". It matches the Rfam family "Eukaryotic small subunit ribosomal RNA", at positions 1470 to 1796 of the family's 1831-position model. The record is from RNAcentral.